This 479-nucleotide ribosomal RNA is filed under the name uncultured Rhodocyclaceae bacterium. RNAcentral's name for it is "bacterial SSU rRNA". It matches the Rfam family "Bacterial small subunit ribosomal RNA", at positions 903 to 1382 of the family's 1533-position model. Lineage: Bacteria; Pseudomonadati; Pseudomonadota; Betaproteobacteria; Rhodocyclales; Rhodocyclaceae. The record is from RNAcentral.
AAAGGAAUUGACGGGGACCCGCACAAGCGGUGGAUGAUGUGGAUUAAUUCGAUGCAACGCGAAAACCUUACCUACCCUUGACAUGUCCGGAAUCCCGAAGAGAUUUGGGAGUGCUCGCAAGAGAACCGGAACACAGGUGCUGCAUGGCUGUCGUCAGCUCGUGUCGUGAGAUGUUGGGUUAAGUCCCGCAACGAGCGCAACCCUUGUCAUUAGUUGCCAUCAUUUGGUUGGGCACUCUAAUGAGACUGCCGGUGGCAAACCGGAGGAAGGUGGGGAUGACGUCAAGUCCUCAUGGCCCUUAUGGGUAGGGCUUCACACGUCAUACAAUGGUCGGUACAGAGGGUUGCCAACCCGCGAGGGGGAGCUAAUCCCACAAAGCCGAUCGUAGUCCGGAUCGCAGUCUGCAACUCGACUGCGUGAAGUCGGAAUCGCUAGUAAUCGUGGAUCAGCAUGUCACGGUGAAUACGUUCCCGGGUCUU